UGCUUGUGCAUAUAAAUGGGCGUGGCGCUAACUAUAUCUUGUUUACCUUAUCUUUCUUUGGAAAAAGUUUUAAAGUCUGUUUGGGGUGUCACAUCUUGCAUGUUCCCCAGCACUGAAGAGUGUUGUUAUGUUAGCAGCAAACACUAGCACACUGUUUUAUCAA
This 163-nucleotide long non-coding RNA is filed under the name Phascolarctos cinereus (koala). RNAcentral's name for it is "SMAD5 antisense RNA 1 conserved region 4 (ENSPCIG00000029565.2)". It matches the Rfam family "SMAD5 antisense RNA 1 conserved region 4". The record is from RNAcentral. Lineage: Eukaryota; Metazoa; Chordata; Mammalia; Diprotodontia; Phascolarctidae.